GAUGAAGGCAGCGAAAUGCGAUAAGUAAUGUGAAUUGCAGAAUUCAGUGAAUCAUCGAAUCUUUGAACGCACAUUGCGCCCGCCAGUAUUCUGGCGGGCAUGCCUGUCUGAGCGUCAUUUCAACCCUCAUGCCCCUAGGGCGUGGUGUUGGGGAUCGGCCAAAGCCCGCGAGGGACGGCCGGCCCCUAAAUCUAGUGGCGGACCCGUCGUGGCCUCCUCUGCGAAGUAGUGAUAUUCCGCAUCGGAGAGCGACGAGCCCCUGCCGUUAAACCCCCAACUUUCCAAGGUUGACCUCAGAUCAGGUAGGAAUACCCGCUGAACUUAAGCAUAUCAAUAAGCGGAGGA
RNAcentral lists this unclassified non-coding RNA (345 nucleotides) under soil metagenome. RNAcentral describes it as "partial contains 5.8S ribosomal RNA, internal transcribed spacer 2, and large subunit ribosomal RNA". The stretch from base 1 to 117 matches the Rfam family "5.8S ribosomal RNA", at positions 38 to 154 of the family's 154-position model. The record is from RNAcentral.